GCAUUAAUGGGGUAGUGGUAACCUGGGUCGUUGCCAUGUGUAUGUCGCUGUAUGUCGACCCGCCGGGGGUUCAAUUCCCCCUUAAUGCA
Molecule: non-coding RNA, 89 nt
Organism: Armillaria mellea
Lineage: Eukaryota; Fungi; Basidiomycota; Agaricomycetes; Agaricales; Physalacriaceae
Source: the annotation of a GenBank genome assembly